GGCGAGUGAAGCGGCAAAAGCUCAAAUUUGAAAUCCCCCCGGGGAGUUGUAAUUUGAAGAUUGCGUCUUGGAGGCGACCGUGUCUAUGUUCCUUGGAACAGGACGUCACAGAGGGUGAGAAUCCCGUGCGGCACGGCCCCCGGCUCCUUAUAAGGCGCUCUCGACGAGUCGAGUUGUUUGGGAAUGCAGCUCAAAGUGGGUGGUAAAUUCCAUCUAAAGCUAAAUACAGGCGAGAGACCGAUAGCGAACAAGUACAGUGAUGGAAAGAUGAAAAGCACUUUGAAAAGAGAGUGAAACAGCACGUGAAAUUGUUGAAAGGGAAGGGCAUGCCGUCAGAUUGUCAGUGUGGGUAAGAAGCGGGGUACAAAGACUGUGGAACGUGGCCCUCGGGUGUUAUAGCCGCAGUUCAUGCCCCGUCUCUUUCCGAGGCCUGCUUUGAGGACACCGACGUAAUGACGGUACGCCGCCCGUCUUGAACCC
RNAcentral lists this ribosomal RNA (480 nucleotides) under Kodamaea ohmeri. Its description in RNAcentral is "eukaryotic LSU rRNA". It matches the Rfam family "Eukaryotic large subunit ribosomal RNA", at positions 88 to 661 of the family's 3401-position model. The record is from RNAcentral. Lineage: Eukaryota; Fungi; Ascomycota; Pichiomycetes; Serinales; Debaryomycetaceae.